AUACAGAGGGUGCGAGCGUUAAUCGGAAUUACUGGGCGUAAAGCGCGCGUAGGCGGCUACUUAAGUCAGAUGUGAAAUCCCCGGGCUCAACCUGGGAACUGCAUCUGAUACUGGGUAGCUAGAGUUUUGGAGAGGGAAGUAGAAUUUCAGGUGUAGCGGUGAAAUGCAUAGAGAUCUGAAGGAAUACCAGUGGCGAAGGCGACUUCCUGGCCAAAAACUGACGCUGAGGUGCGAAAGCGUGGGUAGCAAACGGGAUUAGAAACCCUGGUAGUCC
RNAcentral lists this ribosomal RNA (274 nucleotides) under uncultured bacterium. RNAcentral's name for it is "partial 16S ribosomal RNA". It matches the Rfam family "Bacterial small subunit ribosomal RNA", at positions 523 to 796 of the family's 1533-position model. The record is from RNAcentral.